This 407-nucleotide ribosomal RNA is filed under the name uncultured microorganism. Its description in RNAcentral is "bacterial SSU rRNA". It matches the Rfam family "Archaeal small subunit ribosomal RNA", at positions 330 to 738 of the family's 1478-position model. The record is from RNAcentral.
GCGCAGCAGGCGAGAAACCUUCGCAAUGCGGGAAACCGCGACGAGGGGACUCCCAGUGCCUACGCUCAGCGUAGGCUGUUCCCGAGCCUAGAAAGCUCGGGGAGUAAGGGCUGGGUAAGACGGGUGCCAGCCGCCGCGGCAAUACCCGCAGCCCGAGUGGUGGCCACUAUUAUUGGGCCUAAAGCGUCCGUAGCCGGCCCGGUAAAUGCCUGGGUAAAUCGUGAGGCCUAACCUCACGAAUUCCGGGUAGACUGCCGGGCUAGGGACCGGAGGAGGGAGAGGGGUACUCCAGGGGUAGGGGUGAAAUCCUGUAAUCCCUGGAGGACCACCGGUGGCGAAGGCGCUCUCCUAGGACGGGUCCGACGGUGAGGGACGAAAGCCAGGGGAGCGAACCGGAUUAGAUACCC